Molecule: ribosomal RNA, 511 nt
Filed under: uncultured delta proteobacterium
Lineage: Bacteria; Deltaproteobacteria
Description: bacterial SSU rRNA
Rfam family: Bacterial small subunit ribosomal RNA
Source: RNAcentral
CUCAGAGCGAACGUUAGCGGCGGGCCUAACACAUGCAAGUCGCCGCGAGAAAGGGGCUUCGGCCCUGAGUACAGCGGCGGACGGGUGAGUAACACGUAGGUAACCUGCCCUUUAGUCGGGGGACAACGGUCCGAAAGGACCGCUAAUACCGCAUAAGUUCCCAGGAGCUCCGGCUCCGGGGAGGAAAGCCUCGCAAGGGGCGCUGAAGGAGGGGCCUGCGUCGCAUCAGCUAGUUGGUGGGGUAACGGCCUACCAAGGCGAAGACGCGUAGCUGGUCUGAGAGGAUGAUCAGCCACACUGGGACUGAGACACGGCCCAGACUCCUACGGGAGGCAGCAGUGGGGGAAUAUUGGACAAUGGGGGCAACCCUGAUCCAGCCACGCCGCGUGAGUGAUGAAGGCCUUCGGGUCGUAAAGCUCUGUGGGGAGGGACGAACGUCCGGGUGAAGAAUCCGGGGUGACGGUACCUCCUUAGCAAGCACCGGCUAACUUCGUGCCAGCAGCCGCGGUAA